UUAUAAAAUACUUGCUCCUGUGAAACUUGUCUCUGUGACACUAAUAUCGUUCAAAAAACACUACUUGUCUCUGUGAGAACUUGUCUCUGUGAAACAUCCCCAAAGAUAUUAUUAAACGAUCCUUCCCAAGUGUUGAUUUAGUCAAAAUGAGAAAUGAUGGUGAAUGGACCACUGAAGCCGAAAUAUUCUCGACAGCUGCAUUCUUGGAGACCGACAUUUACGUCUACCAUCCACAGAGUGGUGGGUAUGAAUGGCUGAAACAUUCCAAAAAUUUUAUAUUGAAUUGUAAUUUGGAAUGUGAUGAUAAGUUGUCAAGAGCGCUUUAUAUAGUCAAUAAAAGCGGACAACAUUUUGAAGUUGCGUAUUCGGUUGUAACUCACUGAAUACGCACUACAACUACCCCAAAGUCAACAUCACCGAUCCUGAAAUCUAACAGGAUGGAGGAAAAGAUGUACCAUCAACGACAACCUGGCAAUAUUGUGGAAUGAAGCUGGCACCAAAUGGGAUUAUUCUACAAAAAAUGCAAUAAAUGGGAAGAUUUGAGGGAAGACGAAGAGGAAGAGAAUGAGGGAGAGAUACAAGAAGGAGUCUGACUUUAAAUAUCUUAAUUUCAAAUAUCGCUCAUACAAAACUCCAAUAAACACAAUGGAGGACUAUCGACAAAUUGAAAGAAAAGCAGAAGGAAUUGAAAAAUGAAGAAGAAAAAACUGACCAAAUGUGAGAAAUAGAAAAUAUCAUGAAUAGAAUCUCGGCAAAUCAAAAAUUCAAUCAACACCCUCAAAGGUAAUAUGAAAAAAUAUAUUCUACUCUUAACUCAAUAAUAUUAUACCAGUAUUCUUGAAAUAACUAAUUUUUCUUGUUGCAGAUUUUGUUAUGAAUGCUGUGAAAACGUUAAAAAACGAGUAUAACAAAGAAAAUGGAGAAAAGACAUCUAUGAAAAAUCUCCACUUAUUUGAGUCUUAAAUCAACACCUCUAAGAUUGUGUUCUAGGAUCAAGAUGGUAUCAGGACUAAGAAAGGCUUAGAAAGUUGAAGAUACAUGUAUAUAUGAUGAAGUUUAGGUCAAGGACAUCUGGAUAAAUUUUUGCCAAUUGAAUAAUACUCAAGUCAACACCCUGAGGAGUACCCUAUCAACAUCAACAGACUGAAUCAAACAUGUGUAGAUAGUGCAUGGAAUGAACAUAGCAGAAAUGAGCUACAGUGAGUCGGGUGGCGCCGAUGUCAUUGAGCAGUUAAUACAGAGCUAGCUGGGGCACUCUUACUACUUAGCCUUAGCAUGUUCUCCAUAUGUUCAAAUCUAUUAUUAAAUUUCAGCUGCAUUUUACAAUAGUAUGUAAUCAAGAAUAACUAGUUUAAAAUGAUUUUCAUGUAAUAAUGAUGAAUAUAAAAAACAACAGUAUCACAAGGUUAUUCUGUUUCAUCUGAAUUUUUAUCUGCAUGUGUAUUUAUCCUUCCAGCAUAAUAGGAUACAAAUACUAUAGUUAACCGCACAAAAAUAGUCUGAUGGAAAUUGGAAUGGCUGAGUACCUUCUCACCCCCGAACCCAUAGACGUUUACAAGUCAAAAUAUGUAUUAGAAAAAUAUUUAUCAAUUUGACAACUUCUUCAAUAAUAAACAUAAUUUGCACUCAUCUUUUCCAUCAGACUAUUCUCGUGCGGUUGACUAUAGUGACCUAUGGCAUUAAAUAAAAAUUGUCUGAGAAUACUAAUAAUAAUUUAUUGAUUCUUCUCCACUUUCACAACAAUUGAAAAAACACAAAAAAUUUCUAUACAUGAUAAAAAUAUAAAAAAGGUCAAAUGGCACACAAGACUUUCGUCUGAUCGUGAGCCUAAGGAAAAUAAAAACAAGAAAUUACAAAAAAGGUGAAAAACAACUACGGUAAGCAAAUGAAGAAGAACAAGAGGUUUGAAAAACUAAAGAAACUAUAGUAAGGUUAAGAAAAACACUAAGGGCCGUUUGCAUACGGUAGUCAAAGCUUAAAGGAAAUUGAAUCAGUUGGUGGCUUAAACUCAAAAUGAAACACAUUAUAACAAACACGACUUGAUACGGAUUUAAUCCACUUGAAAAUGAAAUUCAGUUUGAACUGUGACUGUUCAAACGGCACUAAGUGUCAGUUGCACAAAAGCCGGUUAAAUUUUAAACGUGAUUAAUUUUACGAGAAUCAAUCAGAGAAGCCUUCUUUUCUAAUAGGCCUUCUCUGAUUGGUUCUCUUGAAGUUAAUCACGGUCAAAGUUUAAUCGGCUUCUGUGCAACCGGGCCUAACUUUCCAAAUUCAUCUGAUUUCGAAGCUUCUCUUCAAUUAGAUAGAUAAUAAAGUUAUAACUGUGUUACAACUCUGAAAAUAAUGUCAUAACUCUCAUAACACUGUUAAAACAUAGAAAUCAGAGGAUAUGUAUUGAACAAUACCUUUGGUUUUAUUACGGAAAUCGAUAUUGAGCUUUUAUUUGCAUGAAUCAAUAUACUUCAUAGGUAGCGAAUAGCAAGAUGGACCCUGUUGUCAUUAUAUUUUCAAAUGGCUGCAAGGGACCAUUCCGUUAUGCACUACAAUUCUGGGUACAAGUGGAUCUUCGAGCAAUAACCGUUCCCUUUUAGGUUAUCUUACUGUUGGUUAUGGAUACUCGGCAUUCUGUGCGACGUCAUAGUUCCUAAGAAUAUUCUGGUGACGUCAUAGUGACUAAGAAUAUCACUGCAUGUGUAUGCGCGUGCGUACGUUGCCCUGUGACGUAACGUACUAAGACUAUUUCAUACUA
This 2749-nucleotide long non-coding RNA is filed under the name Nilaparvata lugens (brown planthopper). RNAcentral's name for it is "uncharacterized LOC120354511, transcript variant X2". Lineage: Eukaryota; Metazoa; Arthropoda; Insecta; Hemiptera; Delphacidae. The record is from RNAcentral.